RNAcentral lists this ribosomal RNA (254 nucleotides) under uncultured bacterium. RNAcentral describes it as "partial 16S ribosomal RNA". It matches the Rfam family "Bacterial small subunit ribosomal RNA", at positions 524 to 776 of the family's 1533-position model. The record is from RNAcentral.
UACGGGGGGAGCAAGCGUUGUUCGGAUUUACUGGGCGUAAAGGGCGCGUAGGCGGCCAGCACAAGUCAGUUGUGAAAUCUCCGAGCUUGACUCGGAAAGGUCAACUGAUACUGUGCGGCUAGAGUGCGGAAGGGGCAACUGGAAUUCUUGGUGUAGCGGUGAAAUGCGUAGAUAUCAAGAGGAACACCUGCGGCGAAGGCGGGUUGCUGGGCCGGUACUGACGCUGAGACGCGAAAGCGUGGGGAGCGAACAGG